Molecule: long non-coding RNA, 5434 nt
Organism: Tripterygium wilfordii
Lineage: Eukaryota; Viridiplantae; Streptophyta; Magnoliopsida; Celastrales; Celastraceae
Exons: 4
Source: RefSeq, a predicted model, not a curated record
AUUAGUUAUUUUAUGGUCUUUAUUAUGAUUUUUUUUUUGGUUUUUCCUAUUGUUCAUUUCUUAGUUUCUCUUGCUUGUAGCCCCGACUUUAAAUAAUGAAAGAUUACAUUUUCAUUUCUGGAGAAGAAAAAUGAAUUGCAUUGCAGGGCUCUAACACCCUCUACAUGAGUCGUUAACCCCUCGAAGUCCCUCUUAUUCUUCACUUUCCAUGUAAAUAGGGAUGAAAAAUAGAAUGGCUAGAAAUUUUUUGUCCCAUUGCUAUGCUGCUGUAGAAAGUCUUGGCCUUUGGCUCAUUCUCGACAGACUUGGCUAUGCAUAUAAUCUUAAUAGUAGACACAUCAUUGUGCUUGCUAUUCUUGAUAUUUUGAAAGUCAUUUGUACUUGCUUUUGUUUGGUAUAUCCUCAUGUCUUAUAAUGUAUUUUACUUCAUUGAUGUAUGUGCAGGAAGCUGCUAGAAACAGUAAUGGAAAAGCUGCACAUUCGGAAUGGAGGAAUUACGAUGAUUUCUACGAAUCUUUAUGGUUUGUUCAAAGAGGAAUCUUAAUAACUUUCAGGUCCAUUAUAUUUGUAUAAGCUAUUAAUUGUGCUGAUUUGCGUCCUAUACGUAGGUCACCUGCUUGCUUUGAGCUGAGCUGGCCAAUGAGGAAAGAUUCACCAUUUAUGUUGAAGCCCAAAAAAUGAAAAAUGGCUGUUUAGACAUCUUUUUUAUGUUUGGAGCUUACUCAACUGCGAGGGUCAUGGCUAUCACAAGGCUGAUCACAAGCUCUGUCAGCCUAACAUUUCUUUGUGUCAACACACGCUUGUAAAUGGUUGACUGCUGACUGCUUAUUCUUAUUCAUCAGUUGGAUAUUGCAGGAGCAAUACUGGAGUGUCUACACCGAGAAUCAGCCCAUCAGAAUUCAUAUGAACGGCCCCUUUAUUAAUGUCUUCAAAACAAACUUGAUGGAUGCUGGCUUGAUACUUUGAAAAAUGAAUGGACAACCUGUAGAACAGGUAUGGAUUUUAAUUUUGUUGAAGCUGAUGAAUGUAUUGAAGAUGAUAGCAGUAUAGCACUUUAGCAGCUGCUUUAUAUACCCCAUCACACAGAGAAAAAUGAAACCACAGUAAAUUUUCAUUGGAUACUCCAGGUGGGACAUUUUCAUAUGCAGCUUGGUUCAUAUAUCUUUUAUCUUGAGUACAGCUCUUGAGAAGCCAUCCUUAUUCAAAGUCUGAUAUCAUUGAAAUGGGAAGGGUUUGCUUGUGGUUGCUAUAAUUAGGGCUUUUAUGGUCGUUGGUAAAGGUGUUCUUACACCUGAAUUUGGUUUUGGAGAUCCUUUACAAAUGUUGGUUUUGGCCGAAAAUGUUUUAUCGUUUUCUAUUUGAAAUGGAAAUUGCUCAUGUCUUCUUACGGCUUUUAUGGUUGAGUUUAUAGUUGGCUUCAUGCUCCUUGAGUUCUUUGAUUGUGCAUGUUCGAGUUAAUAGUUUACUUGAUGGAUUACUCGGUUUCUACUUUGUGGCAUUUAGCUCAAGUUCAUUGGUUAUUUUAUGUGGCACCUUAUCGCUUUUUUGGUUAAGUUCGUAAUUGACUUCAUGCGUCCUCGAGUUUUUUGUUUGUGGGUUUUUGCUCGAGUUAUAGUUACUUGAUGGAUACUCGGGUUUCUACCUUGCAGCAUGUAGCUCAAGUUCCUAAGUUAUUUGAAGUUCUCGCGUGUUUCCACCAAUUGGCCUUUACAAAUGGUUGUUUUGGCCGAGUUUUUUUAUUGUUUUCUAUUUGAAAUGGAAAUUGCUCCUAGCACCUUACGAUUUUUACGAUUGAGUUCAUAAUUGACUUCAUGCAUUCUUUAAGUCCUUUGCUUGUGGGUGCUUGAGUUACUAGUUUACUUGAUGGAUUAUUCAGGUUUCAAAUUUCCUCAAUUAUUUAUGUGGCACCUUUCUGCUUUACAACUGAGUUCGUAAUUGACUUCAUGCGUCCUUGAGUUUUUUGCUUGCGGGUGUUUGCUCGAGUUACUAGUUUACUUGAUGGAUACUCGGGUUUCUACCUUGUAGCAUUUAGCUCAAGUUCCUAAGUUAUUUGAAGUUCUCUCGUGUUUCCACCUAUUGGCCUUUACAAAUGUUGAUUUUGGCUAAAAUUUUUAUCGUUUUCUAUUUAAAAUGGAAAUUGCUCCUGAUACCUUAUGGUUUUUACGGUUGAGUUCAUAAUUGACUUCAUGUGUCCUUGAGUUCUUUGCUUGCAGGUGCUCGAGUUACUAGUUUACUUGAUGGAUUACUCGAGUUUCUACCUUGCAACAUUUGGCUCAAGUUCCUCAAUUAUAAUUGACUUCAUGUGUCACUUGAGUUUUUUGCUUGUGGGUUUUUACUCGAGUUAUAGUUUACUUGAUGGAUACUCGAGUUUUUACCUUGCAGCAUUUAGCUCAAGUUCUUAAGUUAUUUGAAGUUCGCUCGUGUUUCCACCUAUUGGUCUUUACAAAUGUUGGUUUUGACUGAAUUUUUUAUCAUCUUUUUCUAUUUGAAAUGGAAAUUGCUCCUAGCACCUUAUGGCUUUUACAGUUUAGUUCGUAAUUGACUUCUACAUCCUUGAGUUCUUUGCUUGUGGGUGCUCGAGUUACUAGUUUACUUGAUAGAUUAUUCGAGUUUCUACCUUGCAGCAUUUAGCUGAAGUUCCUCAAUUAUUUAUGUGGCACCUUACGGCUUUCACAAUUGAGUUCGUAGUUGACUUCAUCCGCCUUUAAGUUGUUUGCUUGCGGGUUUUUGCUUGGGUUAUUGUUUACUUGAUGGAUACUGGGUUUCUACCUUGCAGCAUUCAGCUCAAGUUCAUAAGUUAUUUGAAGUUCUCUCGUAUUUUCACCAUUACGAAUGUUGGUUUUGGCCGAAAUUUUUGAUCCUUGUUUUCUAUUUGAAAUGGAAAUGUCUCCUGGCACCUUAUGACUUUUACGAUUGAGUUCAUAAUUGAUUUCAUGUGUCCUUGAGUUCUUUGCUUGCGUUUUCUCGAGUUAAGUUUACUGCUGGAUUAAUCGGGUUUCUUGGGUCAUUGAGUUUUUUGCUUACAGGUUGUUACUCGAGUUAUAGGUUUACUUGAUGGAUACUCGGGUUUCGACCUUACAAUAUUUAGCUCAAACUCCUAAGUUGUUUUAAGUUCUCUCGUGUUUCUACCCAUUGACCUUUACAAAUGUUGGUUUUGGCGUUGAUCGUUUUCUAUUUGAAAUGAAAAUUGCUCCCAUCACCUUACAGCUUUUAUGGUUGAGUUUGGGCUUCAUGCUCCUUAAGUUCUUUGAUUGUGGGUGUUCGAGUUACUAGUUUACUUGAUGGAUUGCUUGGGUUUUUACCUUGAAGUAUUUAGCUCAAAUUUCUCAGUUGUUUAUGUGGCACCUUAUGGCUUUUACAACAUAGUUCGUAAUUGAUUUCAUGGGUCACUUGAGUUUUUUGCUCGUCGGUUUUUACUCGAGUUAUAGUUUACUUGAUGGAUACUCGGGUUUCUAUCUUGCAGCAUUUAGCUCAAGUUCCUCAAUUAUUUAUGUGGCACCUUACGGCUUUUACAACUGAGUUCUUAAUUGAUUACAUGCGUCUUUGAGUGCUUUUUGUGGGUUUUUGCUCAGAUUAUGGUUUACUUGAUGCAAUAUGUCGUACUCUUUCCGUCCACAAAUGACUAUCUUGAAUUAGUUCCUCUAUCUUUCUUGCCCUGUAGCAGCAAGAAGUACACAUGAAUUGAUUUCUGGUAGCUUCAUAUACCUUCCCUUCAUAAUUGACUUCAUGCAUCUCUGAGUUUUUUGGUUGCGGGUUUUUUGCUUGAGUUAUAGUUUACUUGAUGGAUACUCGGGUUUCUACUUUGUAGCAUUUAGCUCAAGUUCCUAAGUUGUUUGAAGUUAUCUUGUGUUUCCACCUAUUGACCUUUACAAAUGUUGGUUUUGGCUGAAUUUUUUUAUCAUUUUCUAUCUGAAAUGGAAAUUUCUCCUGGCACCAUACAGCUUUUACAAUUGGGUUCAUAAUUGACUUCAUGCGUUCUUGAGUUCUUUAUUUUCAAGUGCUCAAGUUACUAGUUUAGUUGAUGGAUUACUCGGGUUUCUACCGUGUAGCAUUUAGCUCAAGUUCCUAAGUUAUUUGAAGUUUUCUCGUGUUUCCGCCUAUUGGCCUUUACAAAUGUUGGGUAUGGCUAAAAAUUUUUAUCAUUUUUUUAUAUUUGAAAUGGAAAUUGCUCCUGGCACCUCACGGCUUUUGCGGUUGAGUUUAUAAUUGACUUCAUGUGUCAUUAAGUUCUUUGCUUGUGGGUGCUCGAGUUACUAGUUUACUUGAUGGAUUAUUCAGGUUCUACCUUUCAACAUUUAACUCAAGUUUCCUAAUUAUUCACGUGGCAUCAUAUGGCUUUUACGAUUUAGUUUGUUAUGUACUUCAUGCUUCCUUGAUUUUUUUGCUUUUGGGUUAUUGCUUCAAGUUACUAGUUUAAUUGAUAGAUACUCGAUUUCUACCUUUAAGUAUUUAGCUCAAGUUCAUAAGUUAUUUGAAGUUCUCUCAUAUUUUUGCCUAUUGUCCUUUAUGAAUGUUUAUUUUGGCUGAAUUUUUUUUGUCAUUGUUUUCUAUUUUAAAUGAAAAUUGCUCCUGGCAUAAUAUGGUUUUUACGAUUCAGUUCAUAAUUGACGUCAUGCGUUCUUGAGUUCUUUGUUUCCAGGUGCUUGAGUUACUAGUUUACUUAUGGAUUACUCGAUUUCUAUCUUGCAUCAUUCAGCUCAAACUCCUCAAUUAUUUAUGUGCAACCUUACGACUUUUACGAUUUAGUUCGUAAUUGACUUCAUUCAUCCUUGAAUUUUUUGCUCAUGUUUCUAGUUUACUUGAUGGAUUCGCAGGUUUCUACGUUGCAGCAUUUAGCUGAAGUCCCUAAGUUAUUUAAAGUUAUCUUGUGUUUCUUGCUAUUGGCCUUUUCAAAUGUUUUUUUGGCUGAAAAUUUUCAUCAUUGUUUUCUAUUUGAAAUGGAAAUUGCUUCCAACACUUUACUGUCUUUACAGUUUUUGCGGUUGAGUUCUGUGGAACUUAACUAACCAAGUAAUUUGAUCCUGGCAUAACCAUAUAAAUAGCUGCAAAGUCACUUAAGUUUUAUUUUAUUUUUUUCAGUUUUCUAAAAAACCUUCUUUUCCAUCAAUUGUUGUGUUGUAAAGUUGUUCUCAUUCGAAGAGAUGCCCAGUCAGCGCCCUUCUAGGGCGAAUAUAGAACAAGAAGAGAAAAAAAUGAAAGUGAAGAAUAUUGGAAUGGUGAAGACAAAAGCUUGGUAGAGCUUGAGCUCAGUUGAAGCUACCGGUGAAAGAAAAAAAAGAAUGGUCAAGCACGUAUCAUUGUGUACUUAUCUAAAAAAAAAAGCAUGUAUCAUUAUGCUAUAUAUCAUUUUUACCACUUUAAUUAGUGAUUCGGAUAUGUUAUUAAAUCAAUAUUUUUUGUUGCAAAAUGUAUAUAUAUAUUUUUUAUUUUUUUG